Molecule: ribosomal RNA, 241 nt
Filed under: Pediococcus pentosaceus
Lineage: Bacteria; Bacillati; Bacillota; Bacilli; Lactobacillales; Lactobacillaceae
Description: partial 16S ribosomal RNA
Rfam family: Bacterial small subunit ribosomal RNA
Source: RNAcentral
GAUUAUGACGUACUUGUACUGAUUGAGAUUUUAACACGAAGUGAGUGGCGAACGGGUGAGUAACACGUGGGUAACCUGCCCAGAAGUAGGGGAUAACACCUGGAAACAGAUGCUAAUACCGUAUAACAGAGAAAACCGCAUGGUUUUCUUUUAAAAGAUGGCUCUGCUAUCACUUCUGGAUGGACCCGCGGCGUAUUAGCUAGUUGGUGAGGUAAAGGCUCACCAAGGCAGUGAUACGUAG